RNAcentral lists this ribosomal RNA (460 nucleotides) under uncultured bacterium. RNAcentral describes it as "partial 16S ribosomal RNA". It matches the Rfam family "Bacterial small subunit ribosomal RNA", at positions 338 to 795 of the family's 1533-position model. The record is from RNAcentral.
CCUACGGGAGGCAGCAGUGAGGAAUAUUGGUCAAUGGGCGGGAGCCUGAACCAGCCAAGUCGCGUGAGGGAAGACGGUCCUAUGGAUUGUAAACCUCUUUAGGCGGGGAGCAAUGCCGGGCACGUGUGCCCGGAGGGAGAGUACCCGCAGAAUAAGCACCGGCUAACUCCGUGCCAGCAGCCGCGGUAAUACGGAGGAUGCGAGCGUUAUCCGGAUUGAUUGGGUUUAAAGGGUGCGUAGGCGGCUUUUUAAGUCCGCGGUAAAAUGUCCGGGCUCAACCCGGGCCGGCCGUUGAAACUGGGGAUCUUGAGUGGGCGAGAAGUAUGCGGAAUGCGUGGUGUAGCGGUGAAAUGCAUAGAUAUCGCGCAGAACUCCGAUUGCGAAGGCAGCAUACCGGCGCCAGACUGACGCUGAGGCACGAAAGCGUGGGGAUCGAACAGGAUUAGAUACCCCUGUAGUC